GGUGGAAGCUGCAGAGCGAACCAUGUAGACAGAUGAGAAAAUAUCUUCUGCCUGCGGAAGGCAAUAGUCCUACAGAAACAUGAGCUCUCUGACCCCUCCUCUCUGUAGACU
Mus pahari (shrew mouse) is the source of this 111-nucleotide non-coding RNA. RefSeq annotates it as small Cajal body-specific RNA 3. The transcript has a single exon. The record is from RefSeq and is a predicted model, not a curated record. NCBI's taxonomy places the organism in Eukaryota, Metazoa, Chordata, Mammalia, Rodentia, Muridae.